UCCUCCAGCUAGCACGAAGAAAGACCAGCCACCACCAAGUAAUUCUUGCUUCAAACCUCAGAAAAGUUCCACGGUCUGACGAGUUGCAUAUCCCAGCCUCUUCGAACCGCCUCUCGCUCAGGCUAGCUUCUGGAAAUUAAUAUAGAUCUGAAGGUUUUGAUCGUUCAAUUCUACUUCGGUUAAUCAGAUCACCCCUGAUUGACGAGAUCCUGUGGAGUAACUGAUGGUAUGCAGGUUGGCAGCAGCGUACGUUUUCUCUUGGUGAUUGACCCAUGAUUUUCUAUUCUCUAUUUUUACUCUGGCCUGCGGUUAGCCUCAUGACCUUAAAAUGAGCCAUGGACUGGCCAUCAGAGGCAUCCUCAAGAUGAUCACAAUUGGUUCUUAUUGUUGAAGUUUAUUUCCUUAUGAAAAGACCAGCUUGUGAGCAUUGGAAGCAAAUCACCGCAGUAAACAGUUGGCUUGGUCAACUAAGAGAUGUUAUGUCUGAUGUUGACGGAAUCUUGGACGAGCUACUGCUUGACCAUCAUCAAUCAUCAUCUCCAAGCAAAUCGGUUGAAAUCUUGGACGUGGCUAGAAGUAAAGGAAGCAAGCUACUGCUUUAGCAAAGAGGUAUGGCCUUCGUCAUGCUAGAAAUGAAUUUGUUCCCUAGUUAGCUAAGCACAUCAGUCAUCAGGAGUAUGUUGAGAUAACUCCCUUUUCCCGGAAAACAAUUUUUUUGUUUUUUGAUAAAUCCUGGCUGGUCGAAUCAGUAUGAAUUAUCUGAAACUGGCUGCCUCCCAACUCGGAUUGAAUCGAUCGAUUGUAAUAAUUCAGCACCCUUAGCUAGCCAACUGUUCCUAGGUGAAACUUUUUCAUUUCCCCACCAAUUAGCCAACUUAUACCCCGACCAAUUGGCGCCUUUUUCAUUCUCAAAACAGACACUCGCUUCUCACUGGACCAAAGAGAAAGCAGCCACCGCAAUGUGCCGCCAAAGAGAAAGCAGCCAUCGAAAGUGUCAGCGGCACUGUAGUAGUAGCAGUAUCCAUGCCUGCCUCUCCAUCAAUGACAACUAGCGGCAGCGCUCCGGCCAUGACGCUGUCGUGGAACCCGCUGCCGCAGCGGGGGCAUGUCAAGGAGUACAUCGCCAGUCGCAUUGCCGCGGCCAUGGCAUCGGUUGUCUGCGACGCGGGCAAAUGCUGUGGGAAGAAAUUAUCUGGGAAAAAGUACGUCACGCCUAGUUCUGCCAACAAGAAAUGAUAAGCCGACCAGUACCACACAAAGGCGAGUUGGAUCCGGCCAGCAGGCGAGCACAUGAGCGAGAAUCCGCCGUGUCUCUCUGGUACACACAAAAGUACGUCAUGCCAAUAUAGUUGCACUUUCCUUGGUCGUCGUUGGCUUCUCAUUCCUUGUUGGGAGAACCGGGUGUGGCGGCUGGCAGUAAUUUGCCCCGUGCUACUUUCUUGCCGCCGCAGCCUCCCGUCUCGCAGACAACAGACGCCGUGGCCUCGGCGACCGCGACGAUGUGCUUGGCGACGCACUCCUUGACAUGCCCCUUCCAGGGCAGCGCGUCCCCAACGACGUCUUGGCCGAAGCGUUGCUGCUAGUUGACAUUGGUCGAGGUCGAGGCAGGCACGACUACCGCUACUACUACAGCGCUGCUGGCACUUUGUGGCAGCUGUAUUCUCUGGUCCGGUGAGAAGCGAGUGUGUGUUUGGAGCAUGAUUAUGGCACCAGAUUCAAACAAUUCAUACUGAUUCGGCCAGCUGGAUUUUAUCGAAAAAAACUCAAUUUUCGGGGUUAUCUCGCCGUGCACUUGAUGACUGAUGCGCUUAGCUAGCUGGGGAACAAAUUCGUUUCCAACAUGACGAAGGCCAUUCGUGGGGUCGAAAUCCAUCCUAUUGGAGGGAACAGGUUCGGUAAUCAGUAUCGAGCUUUGCCGGUAGGCCCAGGAGUCAGGACACAACCAUCUCCUCUCAUGCCGCACCAUCACCAUCUUUAACCAAGUGCUCGUCCCAGGUCGUCAAGAUGCAGUGGUGUACAUAUAUGCAUGGCUGACGAUCCUAGUGCACUUACACUAGCCUGAAACUUUAGAAGUUCACAAUUUCGAUCAGUUCCCUACUUGAACGUGACGAGUCUCUCUACUUUGAAUUUAUGUCGAAGGUCCCUUGAUGAAAGUUCAUAAACAUUCUAGUGGAAACAUCCAGUUUAAAUUGAACUUUUAAAGUUUAACGAUGUAGUUGAAUGUCUGGUAAGAAACAACGAAGGGUGGUGUUCACUGCUUAAGAAACAUCACAUACCGCUAACUACAUGUUCAUGUACCGUAUUUGUAUGAGUUAAUCGUAUACUGCUUAUGAAA
Lolium perenne is the source of this 2335-nucleotide long non-coding RNA. RefSeq lists it as uncharacterized. NCBI's taxonomy places the organism in Eukaryota, Viridiplantae, Streptophyta, Magnoliopsida, Poales, Poaceae. The record is from RefSeq and is a predicted model, not a curated record.